GACGAACGCUGGCGGCGUGCUUAACACAUGCAAGUCGAACGGAAAGGCCCUGCUUUUGUGGGAUUCUCGAGUGGCGAACGGGUGAGUAACACGUGAGUAAUCUGCCCUUGAAUUUGGGAUAACUUCAGGAAACUGGGGCUAAUACCGGAUAGGAGCUCCUGCUUCAUGGUGGGGGUUGGAAAGUUUCGGCGGUGGGGGAUGGACUCGCGGCUUAUCAGCUUGUUGGUGGGGUUGUGUCUUAACAAGGCUUUGACGGGUAGCCGGCCUGAGAGGGUGACCGGCAACAUUGGGACUGAGAUACGGCCCAGACUCCUACGGGAGGCAGCAGUGGGGAAUAUUGCACAAUGGGCGGAAGCCUGAUGCAGCAACGCCGCGUGCGGGAUGAAGGCCUUCGGGUUGUAAACCGCUUUCGCCUGUGACGAAGCGUGAGUGACGGUAAUGGGGAAAGAAGCACCGGCUAACUACGUG
This 468-nucleotide ribosomal RNA is filed under the name uncultured bacterium. RNAcentral's name for it is "partial 16S ribosomal RNA". It matches the Rfam family "Bacterial small subunit ribosomal RNA", at positions 28 to 507 of the family's 1533-position model. The record is from RNAcentral.